AGGACGAACGCUGGCGGCGUGCUUAACACAUGCAAGUCGAGCGGAAAGGCCCUUCGGGGUACUCGAGCGGCGAACGGGUGAGUAACACGUGAGCAACCUGCCCCUGGCUCUGGGAUAGCCUCCGGAAACGGGGAUUAAUACCGGACAUUCACUUCCUUCCGCAUGGUUGGGGGUGGAAAGUUUUUUCGGCCGGGGAGGGGCUCGCGGCCUAUCAGCUUGUUGGCGGGGUAACGGCCCACCAAGGCGACGACGGGUAGCCGGCCUGAGAGGGCGACCGGCCACACUGGGACUGAGACACGGCCCAGACUCCUACGGGAGGCAGCAGUGGGGAAUAUUGCGCAAUGGGCGGAAGCCUGACGCAGCGACGCCGCGUGGGGGAUGAAGACCUUAGGGUUGUAAAGCUCUGUCGGAGGGAAGAACACAAUGACGGUACCCUCCAAGAAGCCCGGCUAACUACGCGCCAGCAGCCGC
This 471-nucleotide ribosomal RNA is filed under the name uncultured bacterium. RNAcentral's name for it is "SSU rRNA". It matches the Rfam family "Bacterial small subunit ribosomal RNA", at positions 26 to 518 of the family's 1533-position model. The record is from RNAcentral.